GACAGAGGGUGCAAGCGUUGUUCGGAAUUAUUGGGCGUAAAGGGCGCGUAGGCGGUCUGUUAAGUCGGGUGUGAAAGCCCCGGGCUUACCCCGGGAAGUGCAUUCGAAACUGGCAGGCUGGAGUGCCGGAGAGGGUCGUGGAAUUCCCGGUGUAGAGGUGAAAUUCGUAGAUAUCGGGAGGAACACCAGUGGCGAAGGCGGCGACCUGGACGAGCACUGACGCUGAGGCGCGAAAGCGUGGGGAG
This 245-nucleotide ribosomal RNA is filed under the name uncultured bacterium. Its description in RNAcentral is "partial 16S ribosomal RNA". It matches the Rfam family "Bacterial small subunit ribosomal RNA", at positions 524 to 768 of the family's 1533-position model. The record is from RNAcentral.